This 447-nucleotide ribosomal RNA is filed under the name uncultured Gammaproteobacteria bacterium. RNAcentral describes it as "bacterial SSU rRNA". It matches the Rfam family "Bacterial small subunit ribosomal RNA", at positions 8 to 451 of the family's 1533-position model. Lineage: Bacteria; Pseudomonadati; Pseudomonadota; Gammaproteobacteria. The record is from RNAcentral.
AGAGUUUGAUCCUGGCUCAGAUUGGACGCUGGCGGCAUGCUUAAGACAUGCAAGUCGAACGGUAACGGGCGGAAGCUUGCUUCUGCGCUGACGAGUGGCGGACGGGUGAGUAAUGCAUAGGAAUCUGCCCAGUAGUGGGGGACAACACGGAGAAAUUCGUGCUAAUACCGCAUACGCCCUACGGGGGAAAGCGGGGGACCUUCGGGCCUCGCGCUAUUGGAUGAGCCUAUGUCAGAUUAGCUUGUUGGUGGGGUAACGGCCUACCAAGGCAACGAUCUGUAGCUGGUCUGAGAGGAUGAUCAGCCACACUGGAACUGAGACACGGUCCAGACUCCUACGGGAGGCAGCAGUCGGGAAUAUUGCACAAUGGGCGCAAGCCUGAUGCAGCAAUGCCGCGUGUGUGAAGAAGGCCUGCGGGUUGUAAAGCACUUUUACUAGGAAAGAAAA